RNAcentral lists this transfer RNA (75 nucleotides) under Ralstonia solanacearum. Its description in RNAcentral is "tRNA-Val". It matches the Rfam family "tRNA". From Rfam's summary of the family: Transfer RNA (tRNA) molecules are approximately 80 nucleotides in length. Their secondary structure includes four short double-helical elements and three loops (D, anti-codon, and T loops). Lineage: Bacteria; Pseudomonadati; Pseudomonadota; Betaproteobacteria; Burkholderiales; Burkholderiaceae. The record is from RNAcentral.
GGGUGCUUAGCUCAGUUGUAGAGCGGCGCCCUUACAAGGCGUAGGUCGGGAGUUCGAGCCUCUCAGCACCCACCA